RNAcentral lists this ribosomal RNA (377 nucleotides) under uncultured bacterium. RNAcentral describes it as "bacterial SSU rRNA". It matches the Rfam family "Bacterial small subunit ribosomal RNA", at positions 521 to 896 of the family's 1533-position model. The record is from RNAcentral.
UAAAACGUAGGAGGCAAGCGUUAUCCGGAUUUAUUGGGCGUAAAGCGCGUGCAGGCGGUCUGAUGUGUUGGAUGUGAAAGCUCCCGGCUUAACUGGGAGACGUCGUUCAAAACUAUCAGACUAGAGAAUGGGAGAGGGAAGUGGAAUUCCAGGUGUAGUGGUGAAAUGCGUAGAUAUCUGGAGGAACACCAGUGGCGAAAGCGGCUUCCUGGACCAUUUCUGACGCUUAGACGCGAAAGCUAGGGUAGCAAACGGGAUUAGAGACCCCGGUAGUCCUAGCUGUAAACGAUGUAGACUUGGCGUUGGCGGAGUUAAAUCUGCCAGUGCCGGAGCUAACGCGUUAAGUCUACCGCCUGGGGAUUACGACCGCAAGGUUA